Molecule: ribosomal RNA, 95 nt
Filed under: Bacillus velezensis
Lineage: Bacteria; Bacillati; Bacillota; Bacilli; Caryophanales; Bacillaceae
Also listed under: 1 other name
Description: partial 16S ribosomal RNA
Rfam family: Bacterial small subunit ribosomal RNA
Source: RNAcentral
UUUAUCGGAGAGUUUGAUCCUGGCUCAGGACGAACGCUGGCGGCGUGCCUAAUACAUGCAAGUCGAGCGGACAGAUGGGAGCUUGCUCCCUGAUG